GAGAGAGAGAGAGAGAGAGAGAGAGAGAGAGAGAGAGAGAGAGAGAGAGAGAGCAUGUGCGAUGAGCAAUAGCUGUGGUCCUUACAGUUGCUGCUAACUGCCCUGGUGUGUGUGUGAGAGAGAGAGAGAGAGGGAGGGAGAGAGAGCGCGCGCGCUAGCGCGAGAGAGCGAGUGAGCAAGCGAGCAGAAAAGAGGUGGAGAGGGGGGGAAUAAGAAAGAGAGAGGAGGAAAGGAGAGAAGGCAGGAGGAAGGCGAGGGACGAUACAACCAUGCUGUGCUGCAUGAGAAGAACCAAACAGGUUGAAAAAAAUGAUGAGGACCAAAAGAUUGAACAAGAUGGCAUCAAACCCGAAGAUAAAGCUCAUAAAGCCGCGACCAAAAUCCAGGCGAGCUUCCGCGGACACAUAACGAGGAAAAAGCUCAAAGGAGAGAAGAAGGGCGAGGCCCAGGCCGCGGAGGCCGACGCCGGCGAGCAGAAGGAGCCCGCGCCCGCCGCGGACGCAGCGGCCCGAGAGGGAGACGGCGCGGCCGAGGCGGCCCCGGGCGCCGGGCCCCAGGCCGAGGAGCCGGGCGCGGCCGGGGACGCGGCCUCGGAGGAGAAGAAGGGCGAGGGCGGCCCCGGCGCGGCCCCGGAGCAGGCCGCCCCGGCCGCCGAGGAGAAGGCCGGCUCCGCCGCCGCCGCCGAGACGGAAAGCGCCGCGAAAGCCUCCGCCGACACCUCGCCGUCCUCCAAGGCCGACGACGGCCCCAAGGAGGAGCCUAAACCAGCCGACGUGCCUGCCGCCGCCACCGCUGCUGCCGCCACCUCCCCCGCUGCCGAGGACGCCGCCGCCGCCCAGCCUCCCACGGAGCCCGCGGAGAGCGGCCGGGCCGAGGAGAAAGCCUCACAGUUUGAAGUGGGUCUCUGGAGUCUGCAGUUCACUGGAGCAGCACCUCGUCCCAGUGGAAGAGAGUUGUUUGUGUCUCUGUCUGAAAGGUUGUCCCAAAGGGAAACCCUCUGAAUAAUGGAGCCAAUUGGAUUUAACCUAAAUAUCACCUCAGUGAUUCAGAUCCAAACAUGAUGCCAACUAUCUAGAAGCUGUAGAUGAAACCAAACCUAAGGAAAGUGCCCGGCAGGAUGAGGGUAAAGAAGAAGAACGUGAGGCUGACCAAGAACAUGCCUGAACUUUAAGAAAUGGCUUUCCACGUCCCUCCCCUCCCCUCUCCUGAACCCUGUCUCUCCCACCCCCUCUCAGUUCCACUCUGAAGUUUCCCCUCCUGUCCUGCUCACAUCUGUGAGUCUGUCCUCUCCAACCCACUGGCCCUCUUUCUCUCUGUGUGGCAAACAUUUAAAACAAAACAAAACAAAAAAAAGCAGGAAAGAUCCCAAGUCAAACAGUGUGGCUUAAACAUUUUUGUUUCUUGGUGUUGUUAUGGCAAGUUUUUGGUAAUGAUGAUCCAAUCAUUUUGGGAAAUUCUUGCACUGUAUCCCAGUUUUUUGAUCUGGUGCGUGUGGCCCUGUGGGAAUCCAACUUUCCUCUCUAUCUCUCUGUUCCAAGUGUGUGUGCAAUGUUCCGUUCAUCUGAGGAGUCCAAAAUAUCGAGUGAAUUCAAAACCAUUUUUGUUUUUCUUCUUUUCAAUGUGAUGGAAUGAACAAAAAGGAAAAAAAUCAAAAACCCGGUUUGUUUUAAAAAUAAAUAAAUAAAUAAGUAAAUAAAUAAUAAAGCAAAUGUGCCAAUUAGCGUAACUUGCGGCUCUAUGGCUCCUUUUUCAAUCUGAAUAUUAAUAAAUCAUGAGAGUAAUCAGA
This is an RNA transcript of Cavia porcellus (domestic guinea pig), 1786 nucleotides long. It is a transcript of the gene named growth associated protein 43, with no coding region annotated. NCBI's taxonomy places the organism in Eukaryota, Metazoa, Chordata, Mammalia, Rodentia, Caviidae. The transcript is spliced from 5 exons. The record is from RefSeq and is a predicted model, not a curated record.